GUUUAAAGGGGUGGGAAAGGAGCUAAAUAUCUGAGCUAACCUCCAAUUAAAGUCAAUCAUAAAAACAGCCAAUUUAAUGAGUGCGGAUUUCUUUGGCAACAGACUGCCACCAAACAUUUGGCUCCUGUUCAACAUUUUCUUUGUGAAAAAUGGCACUGCUGUUGCCGCCUGGGCUGCUGCAGCUAGACUGGCUGGAAUGAAGAAAGACUUUGAAAAAAGAAUAUCAAAAUGACUAGAAAAACUGGCGCCAGAAAUCUGUAUGGAGGACAAGAGGAACACAAUUUGGAAAAGCAGCAAUCUGUCUUUUAUAACAUCUUAUAACUAUCUAGGAUUUGCUAAUAUCAGGACAAUGUCAGAGAAAAAGAUAGUAUUAAUAUGUCCUAGAAGUCUAGAGGGGAAGUCCCUUCCUGCUUCCAGGAGCUAGUUCUAAGGGGUAAAGAGAAAACACAUGAUGGAUACAAGAGGUUAAAGACAAAUGUGCUAUACUUAACAGCUGAGAAACCUGUAUUGGUCUCAAAUUGGGUAACAGCAAAUAUGAAUUUAUAUAUAAACUUGCCUUCCUAAGUACUGGAAGGGAAAUGCUUUUUAUUUUUUCAUCCCACUUUACCAAAUAUAUAUAUUUUAAAAACUUCAUCUACUGUAUGUCAUCCAUCCAAAUAAAAAAAUUGACAUUUUAAAGAACUGACCCCAAAACAGUUAUAUCUAGAACAAAUAAAUAACAAAAGCUUGAAAGACCCUUUUUACAGUGCCUGCAAAAGAGAAAUACAUAGCAGUAAGAAAUCAAAAUAGACUUAUUAUGACUUCCAUUACAUAUGUCAGAGAACAAAGACAUAGAUUAUUUAUUUAAGAACAAUUAUAUCAUCUGUAGCCGUAAUACCUGAAUAUCAUUGAAAUUAUUAUGAGAGAUGUAGAUAUAAGACUGAAUCCAGGGGCCAUGGGGAAUAACUGCUAAUGGGUACAAAGUUUCUUUCUAUGGUAAUGUGAAUGUUCUAAAAUUAGAUUAUGGUAAUGAUUGCAGAACUCUGUAUAUAUUCUAACAAUCACUGAAUUGUACACUUUAAACAGGUGAACUUACAGUAUAUAAAUAUCUCGGUAAAGCUUUUAUAAAAAGAUUAAAGCCAAUUUUAUUCAUCUAGAAUAGAGACAACAGAACACAUGAGUUAAGUUAUAUAAGCUAUAAAGGCUCUAUAAUGUGCAGAGAAAAAUAUGUUGAAAAACAGACUUAUACAUACAGAUACUAGACUAUUUAUGUCCAACUUACAUAAAAUUUCAAAGAUAUGACAACACAUAAAAAUGUAUACUGCCAUCAUGUUUAUAAGUUUUCCUCUCUUAAUCAUGUUUAUUAAAGAGAUUUAGUAAACAUUUCAUCUUCUCAGUCAAUUGCUGACUGGUCUGAAAUAUAUAAAUAAAGUA
Long non-coding RNA from Canis lupus familiaris (dog), 1413 nucleotides. RefSeq lists it as uncharacterized. The record is from RefSeq and is a predicted model, not a curated record. Lineage: Eukaryota; Metazoa; Chordata; Mammalia; Carnivora; Canidae. The transcript is spliced from 3 exons.